GGGUUGGGAGUGGCUGCGGUGGGGGGCGGGUGCAUGGGGGGGCCCUGGGUACACGCUGGCUGGUUCUGG
Molecule: microRNA precursor, 69 nt
Filed under: Sorex araneus (European shrew)
Lineage: Eukaryota; Metazoa; Chordata; Mammalia; Eulipotyphla; Soricidae
Description: miRNA (ENSSARG00000018519.1)
Source: RNAcentral